GGUGAGUAACACGUGGAUAACCUACCUAUAAGACUGGGAUAACUUCGGGAAACCGGAGCUAAUACCGGAUAAUAUUUUGAACCGCAUGGUUCAAAAGUGAAAGACGGUCUUGCUGUCACUUAUAGAUGGAUCCGCGCUGCAUUAGCUAGUUGGUAAGGUAACGGCUUACCAAGGCAACGAUGCAUAGCCGACCUGAGAGGGUGAUCGGCCACACUGGAACUGAGACACGGCCCAG
RNAcentral lists this ribosomal RNA (235 nucleotides) under uncultured Staphylococcus sp. RNAcentral describes it as "partial 16S ribosomal RNA". It matches the Rfam family "Bacterial small subunit ribosomal RNA", at positions 105 to 334 of the family's 1533-position model. The record is from RNAcentral. Lineage: Bacteria; Bacillati; Bacillota; Bacilli; Caryophanales; Staphylococcaceae.